RNAcentral lists this ribosomal RNA (492 nucleotides) under uncultured bacterium. Its description in RNAcentral is "partial 16S ribosomal RNA". It matches the Rfam family "Bacterial small subunit ribosomal RNA", at positions 29 to 507 of the family's 1533-position model. The record is from RNAcentral.
AGUGAACGCUGGCGGUAGGCCUAACACAUGCAAGUCGAACGGCAGCACAGUAAGAGCUUGCUCUUACGGGUGGCGAGUGGCGGACGGGUGAGGAAUACAUCGGAAUCUACUUUUUCGUGGGGGAUAACGUAGGGAAACUUACGCUAAUACCGCAUACGACCUACGGGUGAAAGCAGGGGAUCUUCGGACCUUGCGCGAUUGAAUGAGCCGAUGUCGGAUUAGCUAGUUGGCGGGGUAAAGGCCCACCAAGGCGACGAUCCGUAGCUGGUCUGAGAGGAUGAUGAGCCACACUAGAACUGAUACACGAUCCGCACGCCUACGGGAGGCAGCAGCGGGGAAUAUUGGACAAUGGGCGGAAGACUCAUCAAGCCAUACCGCGUGGGUGAAGAAGGCCUUCGGGUUGUAAUGACCUUUUGUUGGGAGAGAAGAGCAGCUGCUUUAUACCCCGCUGUUCUGACGGUACCCAAAGAAUAAGCGCCGGCUAACUUCGUG